GCAGCUGGAAUUGGAAUGAUGGUGACUUAAACCCUCACCAAAGUACCAAUUGGAGGGCAAGUCUGGUGCCAGCAGCCGCGGUAAUUCCAGCUCCAAUAGCGUAUAUUAAACUUGUUGCAGUUAAAAAGCUCGUAGUUGAAUUUCAUCGUUUCGCGUGUGCCUCUUUUGGCCCAUCUCGUCUCGCUUUUUUUAUUACUUUGAGAAAAUUAGAGUGUUUCAAGCAGGCUUUUGUCUUGAAUACUUGAGCAUGGAAUAAUAGAGUAGGACCUUGGUUCUAUUUUGUUGGUUUUGUUACCUUGGUAAUGGUUAAUAGGAACGGUUGGGGGCAUUCGUAUUUAACUGUCAGAGGUGAAAUUCUUAGA
RNAcentral lists this ribosomal RNA (362 nucleotides) under Babesia occultans. Its description in RNAcentral is "SSU rRNA". It matches the Rfam family "Eukaryotic small subunit ribosomal RNA", at positions 499 to 924 of the family's 1831-position model. Lineage: Eukaryota; Apicomplexa; Aconoidasida; Piroplasmida; Babesiidae. The record is from RNAcentral.